GCUUUUGCAAAAGUGAGUCAUCUUUUUCGAUUUUGUAGAUUCGGGCCGGAUUUUCAGCCGCCUGACCAAAAUGCCCCCCGUCUACAUCCGCCACUCGCGUAUUCCCUGAGAUACAUAUACUUUGACGUACGGUUCUGACGGGCAUUAAAUGCGCCCUUUACGCUUUACGCAAAUUCGCUCUUUUUCGGAACUCAGACUAAAUCCGCCAAAUACCCUAUAUAUCAGUUUUAACGUCAAAUACCCUAUAUAUCAGCUUUAACGGUGUGGAUCGUCGGUGUGGAUCGUUGAUUUGAAUACCCUAAGAUUAAAGAUGAGACUAUAGUACCGGAGCUCCAGUACAAUAGAUAGUAUAGGAGCUUAGCAAAUAGUAAU
RNAcentral lists this long non-coding RNA (372 nucleotides) under Ananas comosus (pineapple). Its description in RNAcentral is "long non-coding RNA (ACOM_LNC017641)". The record is from RNAcentral. Lineage: Eukaryota; Viridiplantae; Streptophyta; Magnoliopsida; Poales; Bromeliaceae.